AGUCAGUACAUCACGCCACGCCACGGAUUCAACUUUCAAGUUCACGCUCACUUCAGUUCACCCACCGGCCACCGCCAUCGUCACCAUCGUCACCUCCGUCACCUUCGUCACCUCCGUCAGACUGUCACCUUCGUUAGUUCAUUUCUCCGUCUCCUUCGCCUCUUCACUGGCGCCUACAAACUCCUCCGUCAUCAGUACCCAAUCCAAUUUCGUUUUUUCUCUUCCCGCUUUUGGACACUUUCUCACUUCUCUUCCCACACUUUUCUCUUUCUCUAUUUUCUCUCUUCUCUCUCUUUUUUCAGAAACCCUAACACAGCCUCCAUCCCCCUUUCCCCACCAUAUUUGUGGUCACUUCCACCUCCAUACCAAAUUCAAAUUUGAACUUCUCAUCUCACGACCUUCCUGA
Vicia faba (fava bean) is the source of this 406-nucleotide non-coding RNA. The record is from the annotation of a GenBank genome assembly. NCBI's taxonomy places the organism in Eukaryota, Viridiplantae, Streptophyta, Magnoliopsida, Fabales, Fabaceae.